This is a non-coding RNA of Equus caballus (horse), 937 nucleotides long. Lineage: Eukaryota; Metazoa; Chordata; Mammalia; Perissodactyla; Equidae. The record is from RefSeq and is a predicted model, not a curated record.
AGGGCUCUUUAAGGAAAAUACAGAAUCAAGAAUCAGUUUUCCUCCAUCCCUCCCUCUCUCUCUCUCUUACACACACCACACAUCAACUACAGAACAGACAAAUGACGAAUUCUAAGUUGAAGUCCUUUUUCUCUGUCUUUUCCUUCUUUACCAACAACACCUCUCACAUUCAAGGAGAGUUGGAAGAAUGAAAGUUAAGGCCUGAGGGAAAAUUGCAUGUUUAGAGGAUCUUAGAGACAAGGAAGAGAGGUAAGAGUGGGUCUGAGAGGGCAAAUGAGAGGAUGAAAAAGCCAGAUGAGUAACGAGUAUCGGCAUAUCCAGAUGAUGGGGUUGAGUGAGGAUAUGGAGCUAGAAAUGUGAACCCAACGAUCAGAAAGUGUCCAAUUUCAUUCCUAUGUUCCCAAGAAAGGGGGUACGUGGUAUGUUGUCUUGGGCCUCCCUUUCCAGCUUUAUCAGAGAUCUCUACCCUUUUCUACACCCGCCUUGGGUCACAAAUAUAUGUAUCUCAGAGUAUCUUACUGGAGUUCCUGCCCAUUUAUCAAAGCUGACUAGAUCCACGUUCUACUCUCUUGGCCUUCUUCCGUGCUCACUGGAUAAACUAGGAGCGUUUGUGGAUGCCCCAUCUUAGGUCUGCAUUGUUCUGAGGAUUUCGUGAAUCAGAAUCUCUGAGAUGGGUGGAGAUGAAACGGGCUUGCCUGGUGUGAAAGAUCCAGGACAUUCAGGGCUUAUUGCUUACAGAGUGCUUUCACAAGCACUGUUCAUUGGAUGCUCACAACAGUCUUGAGAGUUGUGGGUCCUUCUGGCUGUGGCAUGUGGGACGCUGCCUCAGCGCGGCCACUGAGCGGCACCAUGUUCUCGCUGAGGACUCGAACCGGCGAAACCCCGGGCCGCCUGCAGCGGAGCCCAGGAACUUAACCACUCGGCCACAGGGCCGGCG